RNAcentral lists this long non-coding RNA (383 nucleotides) under Cricetulus griseus (Chinese hamster). RNAcentral's name for it is "lncRNA (ENSCGRG00015037982.1)". The record is from RNAcentral. Lineage: Eukaryota; Metazoa; Chordata; Mammalia; Rodentia; Cricetidae.
AGUUGCCAUAUGAUCCUGGGAAGAGAGGAUGAAUGUCGCUGGCAUCCUUGUUCUCAUUUCGUGGCAAUUUCCAAAUAGAAAGAAAACGAGUUUGAAGAUGAUCAAAGUAGACAUUGUUGGUCUCCACCUGGAUCCCUGAGUAUUCCUGCUGCUGCUGCUGCUGCUACACGAUCAACUCUGUUACUUAGGACACUUUUGGUGACAAAUGUAGGGAGGAGUUUGGUUCACUCUGUCUCCCAAACCAAUUUUCUCACAAAUUUCAAGCCGACUUGGUGUCCUACACUUUAACUCAUUUCUGACAUUAACUUUGAAGAAUUACCUCAGACCCUACUUGUUAAGCACUGAGUGUUACAACCUUACUUCGGGUGCUAGUUGCAUGAUUG